Molecule: long non-coding RNA, 992 nt
Organism: Sapajus apella (tufted capuchin)
Lineage: Eukaryota; Metazoa; Chordata; Mammalia; Primates; Cebidae
Exons: 2
Source: RefSeq, a predicted model, not a curated record
AGAUCAUGCCACUGCACUCCAGCCUGGGCAACAGAGUGAGACUCCAUCUCAAAAACAAAAAAGAAAAAGAAAAAUUCCUCCUCUGGGUCCUCACAAAGAGAACGGUAAGAUGUGAUGCACAAUGCUUUUAACAAUAUUUCUGACAUAAACACAGUAAACCUCUUGAGACUGAGGCUUGUUAUUUUCUUAAUAUAAACUGAGGGUAUAAACUGAGGGUAUUACUCAAAGACAGUUCCUUAAAUACAAUUUGAUGAAGGUCCAACAAAGGCACUCUGAGGGUGCACAGGACCUUGGGAAGUCCAGCUUAACCCAAGGGUAGAAUUUGGAUAUUGAGAAGUAUAAAAGAACUGUCUUCAGGCAUUCCAGAUUAGUUCAAAAGAUUCUAAUAAUGAAUGUAUUUCUUAUGAUUGAGCUUUUGAUUAAAAGAGGACACUAGAUAGUUUGAGGUUAGAUUCUCUAACAAUACGCAGAGUGUCCUUAGGGAAGAUCCACACAGUUAAUGUGACAGUGUGACAGUCAGGGUAAGUUGAUGAGUUCCUAUAACUAUAGAAAGCACCUAAUAAGGGCUCUUGUCUAAUGUGGCAACCCCACCACUAUAGCAAGAAAGUCUAUGCUAGUCUUCAUUUUAAGAAAUCACUAUUAUAUGUUCACUGAUGCCCCCUCUCCCCUCUCAAAUAUAGCACAAAAUUAUAUAUACUUAUCUGGAGAUAAGAUACUGUUUUUUUUUUUUUUACCAAUAAAUAAACAAAUAAUAAAGAUUAACUAACUUCCAUAAGGGCCAUUCAUUUGCAAAUUCAGACUUUAGAACUCAUGUUUUCUAAUUUCCUCAUCCAAUGUUAAUUUCACAUUUUAGGUCUUUUCAUUGAAGUAUGAUAUAAAUACGGAAAAGUGGUAAAUGUCAAGUAGAUUUAGAGAUUCAAAAAAAAAAAAAAAUUAAAAAUGGUAAAUGUCCAGAUCCAUGAAUUGUUACUAACAAAGCCUCCAGAUCAAGA